AUCUUUUGUGUCUCCUAAGUGUGAUGAUUUAGUUUUCAUACUCAUGUGAGGUGUGCCUUCCUUAACCUUAUUAUGACAUCAGCAUAUUACCCAUCUGACG
Molecule: small nucleolar RNA, 100 nt
Organism: Nomascus leucogenys (northern white-cheeked gibbon)
Lineage: Eukaryota; Metazoa; Chordata; Mammalia; Primates; Hylobatidae
Rfam family: Small nucleolar RNA U13
Source: Rfam